GACAUAAGUUGUAGAGCUAGUGCUCAUCUGGCAGAGGAAAUCUCUAAUCAGAACUUUUUUACACAAUCAAAGCUAUGAUCCCCCACAAAAAGCCUUAAGUCAAAAUGCAAAUUGUUUUAUGAUUGAGCUAUCUUCAUCUUAAUGAAUAACAUUUGGCAUAUUUGCUGUUGAGUUAAAAUUUCUCCAAUGUGACCAAUGUAUAUUUUAAUUCUGUAUGCGUGUAUUUACAAUCUUAAACAACUAAGAACAGUUUUUGAGUGUAAUCUGCCAAGGUGGACUAAAGAUCCUAAAUUCGACAGGUAACUGUUGGAGUAAGUGUAGAGAAGUAUAUGUCCAUGAGAAGAGUCUCACUGGGAAGUCUUCUCCUAUAUUCAGACAGGCCUGAAUUGAAGAUUCUUUGGUCUUGAGAAGAAAAUGAAGAACACCAAGUCUUAGGCAUCAAAUAAAAUUGCUAAAAUGUCACUCAACAAGCAUUUGUUAAGCACCUACUGUAUGCCAGGAAUGUCAGUGUUGAUUUGAUUAAAGCAGACAGAAGAGAGGGAACAGCAUGGCACCAAGAAGGCCAGAGAGCGGCCUGCUCCCUAAUCGAAUUCUGUCCUGGAUCUCCUGGGAAGCAGAAUGAAAUCUUAGUGGCAAGGAGUAGAAGCAUCUGCUGGGAAGG
This is a non-coding RNA of Phascolarctos cinereus (koala), 661 nucleotides long. Lineage: Eukaryota; Metazoa; Chordata; Mammalia; Diprotodontia; Phascolarctidae. The record is from RefSeq and is a predicted model, not a curated record.